This 253-nucleotide ribosomal RNA is filed under the name uncultured bacterium. Its description in RNAcentral is "partial 16S ribosomal RNA". It matches the Rfam family "Bacterial small subunit ribosomal RNA", at positions 524 to 776 of the family's 1533-position model. The record is from RNAcentral.
UACGUAGGGUGCAAGCGUUAAUCGGAAUUACUGGGCGUAAAGCGUGCGCAGGCGGUUAUGCAAGACAGAUGUGAAAUCCCCGGGCUCAACCUGGGAACUGCAUUUGUGACUGCAUAGCUAGAGUGCGGCAGAGGGAGAUGGAAUUCCGCGUGUAGCAGUGAAAUGCGUAGAUAUGCGGAGGAACACCGAUGGCGAAGGCAAUCUCCUGGGCCUGCACUGACGCUCAUGCACGAAAGCCAGGGGAGCGAACGGG